RNAcentral lists this ribosomal RNA (468 nucleotides) under uncultured bacterium. RNAcentral describes it as "partial 16S ribosomal RNA". It matches the Rfam family "Bacterial small subunit ribosomal RNA", at positions 28 to 507 of the family's 1533-position model. The record is from RNAcentral.
GACGAACGCUGGCGGCGUGCUUAACACAUGCAAGUCGAACGGAAAGGCCCUGCUUUUGUGGGGUGCUCGAGUGGCGAACGGGUGAGUAACACGUGAGUAACCUGCCCUUGACUUUGGGAUAACUUCAGGAAACUGGGGCUAAUACCGGAUAGGAGCUCCUGCUGCAUGGUGGGGGUUGGAACGUUUCGGCGGUUGGGGAUGGACUCGCGGCUUAUCAGCUUGUUGGUGGGGUAGUGGCUUACCAAGGCUUUGACGGGUAGCCGGCCUGAGAGGGUGACCGGCCACAUUGGGACUGAGAUACGGCCCAGACGCCUACGGGAGGCAGCAGUGGGGAAUAUUGCACAAUGGGCGGAAGCCUGAUGCAGCAACGCCGCGUGCGGGAUGACGGCCUUCGGGUUGUAAACCGCUUUCGCCUGUGACGAAGCGUGAGUGACGGUAAUGGGUAAAGAAGCACCGGCUAACUUCGUG